AACGAACGCUGGCGGCAGGCUUAACACAUGCAAGUCGAACGCUCGUAGCAAUACGGGAGUGGCAGACGGGUGAGUAACACGUGGGAACGUCCCCCUCGGUUCGGAAUAACUCAGGGAAACUUGAGCUAAUACCGGAUACGUCCGAGAGGAGAAAGAUUUAUCGCCGAGGGAUCGGCCCGCGUCUGAUUAGCUAGUUGGUGAGGUAACGGCCCACCAAGGCGACGAUCAGUAGCUGGUCUGAGAGGAUGACCAGCCACACUGGGACUGAGACACGGCC
Molecule: ribosomal RNA, 277 nt
Filed under: uncultured bacterium
Lineage: Bacteria
Description: partial 16S ribosomal RNA
Rfam family: Bacterial small subunit ribosomal RNA
Source: RNAcentral